This 254-nucleotide ribosomal RNA is filed under the name uncultured bacterium. RNAcentral's name for it is "partial 16S ribosomal RNA". It matches the Rfam family "Bacterial small subunit ribosomal RNA", at positions 524 to 776 of the family's 1533-position model. The record is from RNAcentral.
UACGUAGGGGGCAAGCGUUGUCCGGAUUUAUUGGGCGUAAAGAGCGUGUAGGCGGCUUUGCAAGUCCGUUGUGAAAACUCGAGGCUCAACCUCGAGACGCCGGUGGAAACUGCAAAGCUAGAGUCCGGAAGAGGAGAGUGGAAUUCCUGGUGUAGCGGUGAAAUGCGCAGAUAUCAGGAAGAACACCCGUGGCGAAGGCGGCUCUCUGGGACGGUACUGACGGCUGAGACGCGAAAGCGUGGGGAGCGAACAGG